RNAcentral lists this transfer RNA (86 nucleotides) under Ilyobacter polytropus DSM 2926. It matches the Rfam family "tRNA". From Rfam's summary of the family: Transfer RNA (tRNA) molecules are approximately 80 nucleotides in length. Their secondary structure includes four short double-helical elements and three loops (D, anti-codon, and T loops). Lineage: Bacteria; Fusobacteriati; Fusobacteriota; Fusobacteriia; Fusobacteriales; Fusobacteriaceae. The record is from Rfam by way of RNAcentral.
GGUGGAGUGUCCGAGUGGCCUAAGGAGCACGCCUGGAACGCGUGUAAGGUGUAACAGCCCCGUGGGUUCAAAUCCCACCUCCAUCG